UCCGAGUUGACCCCGGCAGUCUCCCAUGAGUCCCCGGCAUAACCCGCUGGCAACAUGGGACAAGGGUUGCGCUCGUUGCGGGACUUAACCCAACAUCUCACGACACGAGCUGACGACAACCAUGCACCACCUGUGCGCGACCCCAAAGGGACCCGACAUCUCUGCCGGUGCACCGCGCAUGUCAAGCCUUGGUAAGGUUCUUCGCGUUGCGUCGAAUUAAGCCACAUGCUCCGCCGCUUGUGCGGGCCCCCGUCAAUUCCUUUGAGUUUUAGCCUUGCGGCCGUACUCCCCAGGCGGGGCGCUUAAUGCGUUAGCUGCGGCACGGAGAACGUGGAAGGUUCCCCACACCUAGCGCCCAACGUUUACGGCGUGGACUAC
This 378-nucleotide unclassified non-coding RNA is filed under the name uncultured Actinomycetes bacterium. Its description in RNAcentral is "uncultured actinobacterium contains 16S-23S intergenic spacer region". Lineage: Bacteria; Bacillati; Actinomycetota; Actinomycetes. The record is from RNAcentral.